Molecule: ribosomal RNA, 490 nt
Filed under: uncultured bacterium
Lineage: Bacteria
Description: partial 16S ribosomal RNA
Rfam family: Bacterial small subunit ribosomal RNA
Source: RNAcentral
AUUGAACGCUGGCGGCAGGCCUAACACAUGCAAGUCGAACGGUAACAGGAAGCGGCUUGCUGCUUCGCUGACGAGUGGCGGACGGGUGUGACAUGUCGGUGAAACUGCCUGAUGGAUGGGGAUAACUACUGGAAACGGUAGCUAAUACCGCAUAACGUCUCAAGCCCAAAGUGGGGGACUUUAGGACCUCUUUCCUUCGGCUGUUCGCAGAUGGGAUUAGCUAGUAGGUGGGUUAACGGCUCACCUAGGCGACGAUCCCUAGCGGGUCUGAGAGGAUGACCAGCCACACUGGAACUGAGACACGGUCCAGACUCCUACGGGAGGCAGCAGUGGGGAAUAUUGCACAAUGGGCGCAAGCCUGAUGCAGCCAUGCCGCGUGUAUGAAGAAGGCCUUCGGGUUGUAAAGUACUUUCAGCGGGGAGGAAGGGAGUAAAGUUAAUACCUUUGCUCAUUGACGUUACCCGCAGAAGAAGCACCGGCUAACUCCGUG